Molecule: non-coding RNA, 597 nt
Organism: Peromyscus maniculatus bairdii (prairie deer mouse)
Lineage: Eukaryota; Metazoa; Chordata; Mammalia; Rodentia; Cricetidae
Source: RefSeq, a predicted model, not a curated record
AAGGAGAUUCUAAACAGCCCCUAAACAGAAGAGAACAGGCAGGCAGAAGUCAAGGGAGUUAUGUCACAGCCCAGAGACCUCACCAAUAGCUGAAGAACUAUUGGCAGUUGAUGGCUGCUGAGCUACUGAGAGCCACUUGUCUUUGGGAAUGCAGCCAAUAAUAGAUCUACAGUCAACUGACCGAUGGUAUCUAAGCUUUUCUACUGGGGAUUAUGUUCACUAGAUUUACUGAGGUUGGAAGAUCUAUUCCCUGUGAUGGAAUCCUAAACAUAUAAAAAGGAAAAAGUGGGGUGAACACAAGCAUUCCUCGCUUUGUGCUGCUCAAUCCGUAGGCAAUGACAAAUUAUUCAAGUUCCUGCCUCUUCUAUUUCCCAGCCACGGUGAAUGGUAACAAUGGUAACCACCAUCUUUGAGCCUCCAAGCAGACCCAGAACAGGACCACUCAUGACCUGAAGAGCAGAUUUUCAUAAGAAUUUCUUUUCUAUGCUCACACUAUCAACUGUAAAAGUUUCAUUUCUAAACUAUUGACACUUUCUUUCUCAGGUGUGGAUAAGCAACCUAUAAUAAAGUCACAUUUGAACCUUUUACUUUGUUACC